This 542-nucleotide long non-coding RNA is filed under the name Citrus x clementina. RNAcentral's name for it is "Citrus clementina (C. clementina) long non-coding RNA (CCLE_LNC006727)". Lineage: Eukaryota; Viridiplantae; Streptophyta; Magnoliopsida; Sapindales; Rutaceae. The record is from RNAcentral.
ACUUUUAGUGUCUAUUUAAUUUUUCAUAAAAUGUAAAUAGUGCCGUGUAAUUAAUUAAAAAAAGACAAAACUCAGUGAUAUGUUGCAACAGUUGCAACUUGCAACAUAGUUUCUUGGGAGAGGGGAUGUUUGAAAUUGCAUUAAUAGUGAUUAUUGCAUAAUAUAAUUCUCAAAUAAUUUCCAUGUUGUAUUAAUUGAAAAAGCUCUGUGGGGUGGGGUAUUACUUUUGUUCACUCAGCAAACGCAAAUGAGAAUCUUAAGCGUAAUGAUUCCUGAAAAACGACAAAAAAACUCUGUUGGUUUAACUAUGUGGCAGAGCUUUGAUUAUCCAUCAGACACGAGUACGUUCAGCAAGCCCUUUUCUCUAUCAGAUUUUGCUUUGAUUCGAUUUUUAAAAAUAAAGCAUCAUAAGUGGCUAAAGCUACAAUGUCGGGCAUUGAGGCCCGGCAUUAGAGGUGGUAAAAAUAUCUGUUCGGUCUAGACUCGGAUUGUACCUGGGCAUUGCUGACUGGAUAUAAAGCUGGGUCGAUCUUGAGCAUCAC